GUACACGCUGUGACUAGCAUAUCAAUAAGCGGAGGAAAAGAAACUAACAAGGAUUCCCCUAGUAACGGCGAGUGAAGCGGGAAGAGCUCAAAUUUGAAAUCUUAAAGGGUUUCCCUUUACGAAUUGUAGUUUAAAGAAGUGUUUUCUGUUGAGGUUUUGGUAAAAGUUCUUUGGAAUAGGACAUCAUAGAGGGUGAGAAUCCCGUAUUUGACCUUUACUUUCAACUUUGUGAUACACUUUCAAAGAGUCGGAUUGUUUGGGAAUGCAGUCCAAAAUGGGUGGUAAAUUUCAUCUAAAGCUAAAUAUUGGCGAGAGACCGAUAGCGAACAAGUACCGUGAGGGAAAGAUGAAAAGAACUUUGAAAAGAGAGUUAAACAGUACGUGAGAUUGUCAAAAGGGAAGCGUUUGACACCAGUGUUGUUUUUCUGAAAAUCAAUUAAAGAACUGUUUAUGCUAAGUUGUUUAGACUUUAUCAGCUAACUGUUUAGUUUUGAGCUUUUCUUUAAUGCACUUUUCAGUUAACAAGUCAACAUCAAUUUCUUUUGCUGUAAAAAAGCUUGAGGAGGUGGCUUGAGAUUCGUCUUAAGUGUUUAUAGCCUCCUGCCUAUGCAGUCGGAGAGAUUGAGGUCUGCAGCGUAGAUCCUUCGGGGCUAAAUGCAUUUGUGCUAAGUUAUAACAUUUUAUAGACAACUUGUUGACUAUGAUUUGUCUUGUAGCUUACUCGCUUAUGUUAUUUUACCUACGCUUAGGAUGUUGACGCGCGUGUGUGCGUG
Molecule: ribosomal RNA, 773 nt
Filed under: uncultured Neocallimastigales
Lineage: Eukaryota; Fungi; Neocallimastigomycota; Neocallimastigomycetes; Neocallimastigales
Description: partial large subunit ribosomal RNA
Rfam family: Eukaryotic large subunit ribosomal RNA
Source: RNAcentral